RNAcentral lists this ribosomal RNA (128 nucleotides) under Mesocricetus auratus (golden hamster). Lineage: Eukaryota; Metazoa; Chordata; Mammalia; Rodentia; Cricetidae. The record is from RNAcentral.
GUCCCCGGCCAUGCCGCCCUGAUGGCACCCCAUCUCAUCUGAUCUCAGAGGCUAAGCACGGUUGGGCCUGGCUUGGAUGGGAAGAAAUGUAUGACCUUUGGAUUCUUCAAGAGUCUUCUCUGGGGGAU